AGGACCACUCCACCCUCCCUCCUUCCUCGCGCGUGCCGAGAGAGCGCCCGCUUCCCAUCCCACACUUUCCGUCACCAUGGACGCUGACUCCGAGGGCGGCGACGCCCCCCCAUCCGCCACCUACGGCUCCGACGCCGCCGCCGCCGCUGCCGCCUUCCGCACCUUCCGGACACUGGUGGAGAGCGCCGACCGGAAGUUCGCCCGCGUCCGCGACCUCCCGCCGUACGGCCGCGGGCCGCACCUCCUCCACUACUACCGCAAGGUAUUCAGGGCCUACACUAGCCUCUGGAGGUUCCAGCAGGAGCGUCGCGGCGAGCUCGUCGGCGCCGGCCUCCGCCGGUGGGAGAUCGGCGAGAUCGCCUCCCGGAUCGGUCAGCUGUACUACACCCAAUACCUUCGGACCAGCGAGGUCCGGUACCUCCUCGAGGCGUACGUUUUCUACGAGGCGAUUCUGAACCGCGGGUACUUCGAGGCCGGGAAGGGGUCGUUGGCCUCGUCGUCGUCGGCGAGGACCGAUCUGGGACUGAGGUACAAGGAGCUCAGGUUCCACGCGAGGUUCUUGAUCGUGGCCAUGCUGCUGAACCGGACGGAUGCGGUGAAGCACCUCGCCGAAAGGUUUAGGGCUCUGGUGGAGGAGUCGAAGGCCGCUCACCCGGAGACUAAUUUCAAAGAAUGGAAACUAGUGCUGCAAGAAAUUUUCAGGUUUUUGAAAGCCAAUACAGCUUUUACAAACACCAGGCCUUUGAGAUACAGCAUACUGUUUGAUUCUCAUCUAUCUUCUGUUCCAUAUAUUGCACGAUUCCAUGCAAAUAGGGUUUUGAGGCUACAGGAUGCUUUGCUCACAAGCUAUCAUCAUAAUGAGGUCAAGUUUACAGAGCUUACUCUGGACACGUUCAGAAUGCUUCAAUGUUUGGAAUGGGAACCCAGUGGAUCCUUCUACCAGACUCCUCCAAAAGAGCCAACCGAUAAUGGUGCCUUUAGUGAUCUGAGUGGAGCUUCUGGACUGAUUGAUAUUAACCUAUCUGCAGAUAUGACUGAUCCAAGUCUGCCUCCAAAUCCAAGGAAGGCUAUAAUUUACCAUCCUUCUGUCUCUCAUUUGAUUGCGGUAAUUGCAACAAUUUGUGAAGAGUUAUCUUCAGAUAACAUUUUGCUAAUAUAUGUAUCGGCUUCAGGAAGGACUCACCAUAAUACUGUUUUGCAAAAAGACAUCUCUGGAAGUUUGUUGAACUUCUCGAGACCGAAUCGUGUGUCACAGACUUCUCAUAAACAGGAUAGCUCACUGCCUGAUCCUCCAGUUGGCGAUAAGCCAGAUUCAAAUUCCUGUUUGGAAAGUUAUCUGUGCCUAGGUCCUCGAGGAAGUGGAGGUUUCAACAACCUUUAUCCUGAAGAUUUGCUUCCAUUCACACGGAGACCACUUUUCCUCAUCAUUGACAGUGAUAACAGCCACGCAUUCAAGGCUAUACAUGGUGCGGAAAGGGGAGAAGCAGCUGCCCUGCUUCUUUCACCUGAGAGACCAUCAUCAGUGUUUGCUACUGAUCUAACGCUCAACGGAAGCCAGUUUACAUAUUUCCUAACUGCUCCACUUCAGGCAUUUUGCCAGUUAGUUGGCCUCUCUUCUGAUGUUGAAGCUGAUGUUUAUAGAAAUGCAGAGGGCAUACUUUCCUCUGCUUUAGCUGAAUGGGAGGUAAUACUCUGCACAUGCAAUUCUCUGAAUCAGGUCUGGGCCCAGGUUUUACCUGAUCCAUUUCUACGGCGACUGAUUCUAAGGCUAUACAUGGUGCGGAAAGGGGAGAAGCAGCUGCCCUGCUUCUUUCGCCUGAGAGACCAUCAUCAGUGUUUGCUACUGAUCUAACGCUUAACGGAAGCCAGUUUACAUAUUUCCUAACUGCUCCACUUCAGGCAUUUUGCCAGUUAGUUGGCCUCUCUUCUGAUGUUGAAGCUGAUGUUUAUAGCAAUGCAGAGGGCAUACUUUCCUCUGCUUUAGCUGCAUGGGAGGUAAUACUCAGGCAUUUUGCCAGUUAAUUGGCCUCUCUUCUGAUGUUGAAGCUGAUGUUUAUAGCAAUGCAGAGGGCAUACUUUCCUCUGCUUUAGUUGCAUGGGAGGUAAUACUCUGCACAUGCAAUUCUCUGAAUCAGGUCUGGGCCCAGGUUUUACCUGAUCCAUUUCUACGGCGACUGAUUCUAUGGUACUUGUUUUUCUCAUUUUAUCCAUACAUGUACAAUUUGAUUCUUUGCAGUCUUUCCUUGGCCACAACAUGAAAUAUCAAGAUUGUCAAAAUUUAUCCUUCAUAAUAGCAGACUGUCACUGCAGGGGUAAAAAAUAGAUGUCGCAUUACACUAGCACAAUUUGAAUCUGUUUAACAUUUGCUAAUGUAAAUGAUAUUUCUUAUUUGGUGAAAGAUACUUUUGGAGAAUAAAGGAUUUAUGAUGCCUGUGAUGAAUAUGUGAUGUCCUGUGUGCUACUUGAAAAUAAUUGAUGAUGAAUAUGAACAUUCUCUGACCUACUUUUACUCGUCCUUUUUCAAAGGUGGCAAGUACAUUCUCUUCCUUGCCAAGCUCGAUUGGGACGAAAUUGGGUUAUCUGAAUUGCUGUCUCAUUCAUUUGAGCAGUGAUGACGAUAGCCAUUUGUCUUUCUAUCACUCGAGCUAACUUAUAUGCCCUCACCAUUUUUGCAUCUUGGGAAGCACCGUAUUAAGUUAAUGUGAUCACAUUGUGCUAUAGGAGGCCAGCUUUGUGAACAGAACAUUACAAGGCUGUCAGUGGUGUGGUGUUCAUUACACCAGAAACCUAAUUAUUAUUGAUUUAGCCUUCAUGUUUUACCUCUAUGUGAUUUUCUUUAUCAUUUAAUUCACAGUACUACAUUAUGUCAACACAUUAUUAUCUGCAACAGAAAAUUAAUAUGCAUACUUAUGUUGGGCAAAUUUAGCAAUAUUUAGACCUUUUUUGUAUAUGAAACCAUGGGAAUUUUACUGCUGUUACUGAGAACUGCAAAGCAGAGAACACAACUAAAGACGGCUCAUGGUUACAGCAUUGGAGGGUUUGUUGCUGGAAAAACAGGUUGGUUGUUUGGGUAGCAAAAGAUUUAGAGGACUUGAGGUGGGGGGAUAACAUUUCUUGAUUUUGUUAAAGAGUUUUGAAUAUCUGUUAGUUCAUAUUUGCAUAUGGGCAACAACAUUUUAAUUCCUUUUAGCUUUCGCUCUUUUACUCCCUGUAUGUUUUACAUUGCGUUUUUUACUAAGGCUUGUAGGUUGCUGCCAUAAGAUGUUUUUGAGGAGGUUUAUAUUCUGCCGGGCGGUGCUUCAUCUCUUCCGCCCUGUAGAGAAGAGUAGCCAGCAUCUUCCUGCUUGCAUUCCUAGCCUACCUGAGUCCGUCUCUCCAAGCUCUGCAAAAACUCAAGUCCAUAUCCUCCAGAUUGCAGAAAACUUUGGGGUUGUCGAUCAUUUUCACUUUUCAGAUUCCAUCAGGGACUCACUGCCGAACCGAUCAUUACUGCCAUAGUGUAUAAGCUUCUGCAGAUAAAAUCACGGUACAUAGGAUCCAAUCAUUUGUUGAUUAUUUUGUGUCCA
This is a non-coding RNA of Phoenix dactylifera (date palm), 3566 nucleotides long. The record is from RefSeq and is a predicted model, not a curated record. Lineage: Eukaryota; Viridiplantae; Streptophyta; Magnoliopsida; Arecales; Arecaceae.